CCGAUGGAUGAUGAAGAUCUUGUUGCAUACAUCGUUAAUGGUUUAUAUGAGGACUAUAAUCCUAUUGUUUCUGCUCUUGUUAGUAGGAUAGAACCUAUUACAGUCUCUGAAUUGCACUCGCAGCCGAUGAACUUCGAGA
Molecule: small nucleolar RNA, 139 nt
Filed under: Oryza punctata
Lineage: Eukaryota; Viridiplantae; Streptophyta; Magnoliopsida; Poales; Poaceae
Description: Small nucleolar RNA Z247
Rfam family: Small nucleolar RNA Z247
About the family: Z247 is a member of the C/D class of snoRNA which contain the C (UGAUGA) and D (CUGA) box motifs. Most of the members of the box C/D family function in directing site-specific 2'-O-methylation of substrate RNAs.
Source: Rfam by way of RNAcentral